Apis cerana (Asiatic honeybee) is the source of this 5402-nucleotide long non-coding RNA. RefSeq lists it as uncharacterized. NCBI's taxonomy places the organism in Eukaryota, Metazoa, Arthropoda, Insecta, Hymenoptera, Apidae. The record is from RefSeq and is a predicted model, not a curated record.
GCGGGGAUAAAUAUAUAUAUAAAUAACUCUUCGCCUGCUUUUGUUCCAGAAGACGAUUCGCGAAACGGAAAGGAGAGGAAAGCGUGGAAAACUAUGAGAAGGCGCGCAAGGGAGAGGAAGAAUGCUUCCGAGAAAACCCUCUCUCGCUAUCGGUUGGAUCACGAUGGGCAAGCGGCGCUGUGGCCGCACAAAGGGAAUCGAGAGCUGGCCGGCAUCGCGUGUUACCGUUUCCCUCAUUUGCCUGGCGGUGCGAGCAGGAUCUCCCGUGCAAAGGGUUUGGCUGAGGAAGGUUUGUGGAAAAGGUGUUGAUCGGUGAAAAGGUCGUCUCGUUUCGUCGCUAUCCGGGGAGAUUGGUCGAAAGAAGUCGCGAGGAACGAGGGGCGAUGCGUGAGCGUGCGUUUGCAUGCGAGCGAGCAUUCUGAGAAAUUCUCGCGUCGUACACGUGUUUACCUACACCUGUGUGCAAGUUUGCAUGCGCAUGCUUGUAUAUAUAUCGGCAAACGAAAUCUCUUUCUCUCUCUCUCGGUGGCUUCCUACACGAGAGACAGCUACGCGCAGCUACCUGUAACAGAGUGUAUUCACCUGGCGGCGUCGUUACCUGACACGUACCCGCCUCCUACCCCUCCUAAUCACGGAAUUGUCUACGCCGCUUGCUGCGAUCCGCGCUGGAUCAGACGAUACCCAGCGGGAAUUAAAUUGGAGGAAGUUUUGUGAACGCGACAUUAGUGGAUCGAAUCGUCGCAGAGAUCGAGGAACCGGUGGACUUUUGCAUAUUUGUUUUUUGUGAAGGUAGGCAAGAACGAAGUGGAAAUUAUUAUCGGUAACGAAAUAAGAGAAAAAUAAUCUGCGAAUCUGUUUUCAUUCGGCACGUUCGCCGGAGGUGGAGUGCAGGUUUUUUUAAAGAAAGACGAGGCGCGGCGAGGAAAACGCUUUUGCAGGAUCAGGGAGUGCAGUGCACGGGGGUACAGAAUAGGGUAAUUUGGGUGGUCGCUACGUCCACGGAAUGUGAAACGAGGGCAGCUGCCCUGUGCAACCGUGUCUCUUUGCCUUGGAGUUCCGCACGGCCAAUUUCACCAUUGCGAAAGGGCGCAAUACGCCUCUGUGUCUGUUGUUAUCGAAAGGAUGGAACACGUGACUCCAUUUUCAUAUCCACCACCAAUCGUUAAUCAUCAGAAUUUCUCGAUAUUUCCUGCUACGAAUAGUUGAACAAGUCCAAUUUUCGAAAUUAAGACAACUUUUCUUCCAGAUCGUUAGUUUCAACGAGAAUCGUCGUUUGAUUUCGUGCGACAAAACAACACGGAGAAAAAAGAAAGAAAGAAAGAAAGAAAGAGAAGCAAAAUGCGUCGAAUACUUUGAAUAUCUUCCCUCUGUAGAAUUCCAUACAUAUACUUAUUCAACGUUUGAAUUUAUUCCACGUAUGAGAGACUUUCAUAACACCGUAUGAAUGAAUAUUCACACGCAGUCGUGUUUCAUCAAACAUCGCGAAACACGUUCACAUGUUGAAUAGAACCAAGAAACCGACAAUUUGAUCAGAUCCACGCGACGAUGAUCCAGAACGAUUAUCCCCAAUGAACUUUCAACGAGUUCACCUCGCUCGAAAUCAGGAUGAUCGGCAAUGAGACCGACGCCCCCCUUCCCCCUCUCCCUUUUUAUUAACCGUCACCGCGAACGCGUCAUAUAAAUGCGUAUUGAGUUGUUCAUUUAAUGGCGAGUGUCGCGCUGAAUAUACAGCCCACACAACGCGCCACGACGGACACACUUGCCGCAAUUUUAUUGUCGGCAAAGAAGCCACUGUGCAUAAACGAUCGGCCCCAGCCUGCUCACUGACCUCGUACACCUGGCUCGACCAUACUCGAGCCUUUACACUCUCCUCCCCUCCCGAAUUAAAACCAUUAUCCCUCCUCUUUUUCGAUAAUAAACGGAUUGGAUCUGAUUUUCGAUCGAGGAAACGAUGUGACCGAGACGUAAAGAGAAAUUGUGAAUAAUCUUCCUCGAGUUGGGGCCCAGCCACAGGAAGUCGAGGCGAAGAGGAGGACGCGUGCAUGCGCAAGAGCAAUUUCGUCGCGAGGUAUCGAAGGGAUACGCGCAUCCUUCCUGUCACAUCUCAUUACCAUAAUACGGGCCGUAAUUACGACAAUUAGCAUGGUAAUUAAGAAAAUUGCCAUUCGUCUCGUUUCCGCGAGGCCCUCUGAUCUAGGCUUGCUCUACCAGGUCUGCGAAACCGAACGCCCUCUCCUCGUCUUUUCCAUCGAGAGCCAUCUUGCGCGCCCGUUUCCCUCGGCCAAGAGUUUGCAUCCAAUUAAAGCUUAAUUAGUCAAGUCGACUUCCUAAUGACGCUCCCUCCGCGUUUUCCUUGGUCACGGAGACACACGGAGGAGGAACCAACCCAACCGGUAUUGUUCCUCCCAAGGAGGAGAGGCGAGAUUCGUUCGUUGACGAGCAACGCAUCGGUGAACGUGUAUACAUAUAUCGUGGAAUAUUUCUUCGAGUCGAAAAAGAUUUGUUCUUCUAUCGAUGGAAAAUAUUGAGAAACGAUAGCAGCAAGAGCAUAUAACGAAGUUCGUGUGUUUGUUUACAUUGAAAUGGAAAUAUUUUUUCGCUAAUUAGAGAUGUAAUUCAAUUAGCUCCUCUCAAAUGUAAAUUUAUUUAUAUUCGAUUUGAAGAAAGAAUUUAAGUAAAUGAAAGAUACGUAUAGAGAUACGUAUGCUCAAGUAUAUUAUGUAAAAGAGCAGGGAAAGAAGCGAGAUGUAAAGGUGAACAGGGAACAUUUAAACAUUAUUCAUAACAAGUAAACAAAAGAAAGUAUUUUUUUUUUCUCGUCAGAAAUGAAUAAAUGAAUUUGUAAUUACGAGGAAAAUGAAAUUUAAAUAAGUAUUUUAAAUAUAUACAUAUAUAUAUAUAUAUCUACGAUUAUUUGAAAACACUCUGUUUUUAUACAAAGUAAAAACUAUUAAUCACCAUAAAAUAAUAUAUUUAUAAAUAUGAAUUAUACAUAUAACGGAUACAUAUGUAUCGCGAGACGGAAUGCAACAGUGAUUUGCAAUCGCCACGAAAUAUAUAGAAUUCUUCGUUUUAUUGUGAUAUAAAAUUGGAUGAUUCAUCGAGCGAACAGUGCGAUACGGACGAAUGAUCCGGAUCCCAUAGAGCCUGACUCGAUACUCUGAAAACACCUACACGUGCAUGACCGUGAAACGAACGAUGACUGGAAGAUGCUCUUAAAUCGUGCAUAGACUUAAUAAUUCAUCGUGGGUGGUCGCGUUGCCUUUUGCCUCGACAAAAAUUCGCCGCGUACGAAUAAAAGAUAAUCGUUUUUUCCCUCAAUAUAAACGAAAUAUAUAUAUAUAUAUAUACAUGGAUGGACAAUCUUCGAAUUAUCUUCGAUUUAUCAGCGAUUAAUUACGGAACGGGGAGUCGUUAAACGUUGGAUGAUCGAGUUCGAAACGCCGCCACCCUUCGAUUCACCUUGCCCUCUUUCGUCACGGAUUUAAGGAUAAGAGAAAAGAGAAGGAGAGGGAGAAAUGAAAGAAGAGAGAGGCGUUUCACGGUGAGAAAAGCGAAAGAGAGAGAGAGAGAGACGAAGAAUUUUCGAGGGGGCUCCCAAUUAAAAGCGCCGCCUGGCAGUAAAGAACUCGGUGGCUAAACUCGUUGCAAGAUCGACUACCGAGUACCGUGUUAGUCCCUUUUAGUCACGGUUCGUGGUAUGGCGGCGCUAAUAAAACCCGCAGCCAACCGUUAUAACUUGCAAAUUCAACGCGAUCUCGCCUCAGGAUAAACGGUCCCGCGUGUUCCCACAUUUUUCCCGCGACGUUUCGAAAAUUAUUGUUGUUGUUGUUAUCGGAGAAAACUGGAAAAAUUAAUUUCUUGUUAAAUUAGCGAAUAGCACAUUUUUGAAAAACGUUGUGGAGUACGUGCUCCACAAUGUACAAUGGGUUAAUAUUCAAUUGGCCUUUUGCCAACUUGUAGAAGCCGUGUCCAUUUACAUUCAGAUGGAGUUGAUAUUUCAUAAGAGCUACCAGAACGCGAUUCAAUCUCGCUGAAACGUUAAUUACGAGCCUCCAUAGGGGGCUCUUCGACGAGAACAAAAUCCCCGACAACGGGUAUACAUCCACUGGUAACAGACAACAAAGGAACAUUCAAAACAUGAUUGCCCUGUUACUGCGAUUAUGCCUUAUUAACGCGUCGAGGGAACGUGUCGAUCUCCGUGACGAGAGCGUAUAGGUGUUUGCCGCUUAUUAGCAACGAUAUAAAUUGAAUUGAUUAAGGGCGAUCACGUGCCUUGAUGCAAACUAUGCAAAUCGCUGCCAACAUAUUUGUGUACACAAACGCGAGCGUUUCGUUCCAUUUACUAUCGAUCUGUAGAAAAUGGUUGGUGUUAUUAACAUUCUCAGGACAUUAAUCCCUCGUUAUUGCGCCACUUACGUUUCUUAACGUUCUAGGAAAUAUCUACAGGAUGUAAAAAUACAAUAGUAGAAAUUUCAUUCGCUAUAAAUAGUUCCACCGUGAUAUAUGGGCGCCUCGUAACUCUAGCUCAUUUCAUACCCGAAGAAGAUGGGUACGAAGGACACAAAGGAGGGCACGAGAUGCAGAGGACAGGGGCGCGAGCUCGCUAGCUGGUUGAAUGCGUAGCAGAUUCGGUUCUCCCCCAAUCUUCUGGGGGCCCCAGAACAGUUUCGGGCCCUCUUCAGACGUUCGCCGCCGCGCAUCGAACUGUCCGUGCAAAUUUCAAUUUUAACUGCUAAUCUGCCAGCUAAUAGCCCCCUGCUCCUGCUGGUACCGCCGCCUCGCCUUUUCUCCAUCAACGACCCCCGCUCUCAAUACCCAUCCUCGCUACGCGAGUUUUUCUCUUUGCCCGAUCGGCCUGAGAGUUGUUCGUUCGACUGUCUCACGAGAACCUACGCUUCUGUCGUUUCUCUACGCUUCUCGAACUUUCGUUCACACGUACACGAGGGUGUGGACAAGAAAAAGAAAAAAAAAAGGGGGAAGAAAAAGUUGGCGGAAUAUAUUUUUUGUGUCCCGAUAAUGCGGCAAUUUUUUUCUCCCCGACCGUGUAAUCGAUAGUGUUCACUAUUAUUAGUCGAAAUUACACGAUCGUAUGACUUGUGACUUCGUUACCUCGGGUACUCUUACGGUCUCUUAGUGGGAACUUCUUAGCUGUCGUUACAGGUGGAACAACAGGAAAGAAUUGAUCCUUUCAGGGGCGAAGUUUUUGCGGGGAAAAAUUCUUCUCGAUCCUUUUCGAUCGAAACGGAAACGAAUUAUUAUUUCAGUCCGCGAAAAGAUACGGGAGUUUUAAUUAUAAAUACUUUUCUUAAUUUCGCGAUUAAUUUAAAAAUGAGAUAAUCAUCGUAAAAUUUGCACGAACAAGUCAGAGAAUUAUUCAAUUAUCCCACGAAUUUUUAAUC